UGGGGAAUUUUGGACAAUGGGGGCAACCCUGAUCCAGCCAUCCCGCGUGUGCGAUGAAGGCCUUCGGGUUGUAAAGCACUUUUGGCAGGGAAGAAACAGCCUGGGCUAAUAUCCCGGGCGACUGACGGUACCUGCAGAAUAAGCACCGGCUAACUACGUGCCAGCAGCCGCGGUAAUACGUAGGGUGCAAGCGUUAAUCGGAAUUACUGGGCGUACAGCGUGCGCAGGCGGUUCGGAAAGAAAGGUGUGAAAUCCCAGGGCUUAACCUUGGAACUGCACUUUUAACUACCGGGCUAGAGUACGUCAGAGGGGGGUAGAAUUCCACGUGUAGCAGUGAAAUGCGUAGAGAUGUGGAGGAAUACCGAUGGCGAAGGCAGCCCCCUGGGAUGAUACUGACGCUCAUGCACGAAAGCGUGGG
This 418-nucleotide ribosomal RNA is filed under the name uncultured bacterium. RNAcentral describes it as "bacterial SSU rRNA". It matches the Rfam family "Bacterial small subunit ribosomal RNA", at positions 355 to 765 of the family's 1533-position model. The record is from RNAcentral.